This is a non-coding RNA of Ditylenchus destructor, 86 nucleotides long. The record is from the annotation of a GenBank genome assembly. Lineage: Eukaryota; Metazoa; Nematoda; Chromadorea; Rhabditida; Anguinidae.
ACCUCCGUAGUUCAGUAGUUAGAACGCCGUACUUAUAAGUAAACGGAGAUAUGCGGAUGUCGCGAGUGCAAACCUCGCCGGAGGUA